UUUACUUCUCGUGUCAGCCUAAUGAGGUCAUGUGGAAUUGAACAGCUCCUGAAAAAUGGUACUCAUGUCAAAUUGCUUUUCUCUUACAAGUCAAAUUCGGGAGCAAAUGAAAAAAUAGAUUUUGCCAUCUGAUUAUAUGUUGAGUUAACCCCAAAGUCAGAUUUAAUUGGCCAAGAACACAUAUUAACAAGGACAGUGUAAUAUGUAAGAUUCUUCAAGACUGCUUGGCCUGAAUGUCUUCUGGGAAAUCCUUAAGAAUAACAUUUUCAAAUAAUGCUGAAAACGUAAUUAGACAAGAAUUUUGUUGAGCUUUCGACCCUGAACUCUGGCUCAAGAAUCCUGGUCACUGAGAGAAGCUGUGGUGUCAGGUGGAUGUGGUAUGCAUAUGUCCUACAUCUCACUAGUGACAGUACACUUCACCCCUUCAUUCUGCUACGUUAGUUUAGGUUUUUGGUUUUCUUGGCCUGGUCCUUCCUUACGAUUGUAGGGAGAGUGACUCUAGGUCUCCCUUCUGGCUUUUAAUGGCACCUGUACAAAUAGGUAUUUCUAUUAGCAGGUAGCAAUCUGUGUCCUGGCAAUUCCAACCCUCCUAAUUAAAUACACCAAUGAAAGUUGUCAGAAAAUUAAGUAGUGAAAGAAAGAAAGAAAGAAAGAAAGAAAGAAAGAAAGAAAGAAAGAAAGAAAGAAAGAAAGAAAGAAAGAAAAGAAAAGAAAGAAGAAAGAAAGAAAGAAAAGAAAAGAAGAAAGAAAGAAAGAAAGAAAGAAAAGAAGGAAGAAAGAAAAGAAAAGAAAGAAGAAAGAAGAAAAGAAAGAAGAAAGAAAGAAGAAAGAAAGAAAAGAAAGAAAGAAAAGAAAAGAAAGAAGAAAGAAAGAAAGAAAGAAAAGAAAAGAAAGAGAAAGAAAGAGAAAGAAAGAAAGAGAAAGAAAGAAAGAAAGAAAGAAAGAAAGAAAGAAAGAAAGAAAGAAAGAAAGAAAGAAAGAGACUCUAUAAAUUGUAAAGCUAGUUUUGUAGGACUAUUUUCAAAUGCACUAAGGAUUGUUUCUAUACAGUAUUAUUGGUUGAAUUAUGUCCCACCAAAAUUAUGUUAACUUUUAGUCCCCAGUACUUCAGAAUGUGACAUUACUUUAAAAAGAGUCAUUGGAGAUACAUAUAGUUAUUUUUGAUAUGGUCAUAUUGUGGUGGGCCCUUCAUAAAUAUGCUAUCAGAAAUGGAGAAAGGACACAAAUUCCUAAUUCAAAGGACGCAUUUCUAUCUCCUGUAGAUAAACAAAGUGUACUGGGGCCUGGAGAAUAAAACUGACCAGCAAGCUACCUGAGUCGCUUCAGAGCACCGAGAAAUAAGACUUUGUAUGGGUUGAAAGAACAAGGAACAUGAGGUCCAGCUGAGCAUCAGUCUUUGGGAAUCUCCAAGCUUGACCAUCAACCACUGAAUGAGGAAGGACUUAGGCAGAUGUUGGUUCUGUUUCAAGCUGUUGUGUCAUAAAGGAUUUUGUGAAAGGAAUUAACUUCACCCUACAUGAAAAGGGAUCCUGGGAUGGCCAUUUUCCACACAAUGGAGUGGAUGUUAUGCUGUGUUUCUUUUCCAAUAAACAGUGAGGAGCCAUCGGAGAUGGAAAUGCAAUGAAAUGGAUAGUGGAAAGAAAAACCCUGAUGAACUCCUGGAGUAUAGCCUACAUGUGAGAGCUAAAAUAACGGAGCCUCUGAACAAAGCCCAGGAGGAUAACUUCAGACUCUAAGAUAUUUCCCAAGACAUCCAAAUAGCCAAUGAAAAACAUAUGAGAAGUUACUCAACAUCGUUACUCAUCAAGGAAAAUCUACAUUUUAACCGCAAUACCACCUCAAGAUCUACCAAUAUGAUUAUAAUAUAAAGUGUGACAACACCAAGUAUUGCCAGGAUUUACAGCCACUGGAACUUGGACUCACAGUUGCGGGAGCAGAAACAGAAAGGGGCAGUGUUUCCUGAAGCCAAACCUAUGUGAUUCAGCACUUGCACUCUGAGGAAUGUACCCAAGGGAAGAGAGUGCGAAAGUCCACAAAAGACAUUGCAGAAACGUUCCUAAAGUCUUUAUCAGUAACAGUCUCCAAUCUAGAAGAACUCAUAGAUUGAAAAAUGAAUUGUGAUAGAUUCAUAUACUAGAGAACUUUUCUGCGGUAAAAAGGAACAAGUUAUGGCCACACCAACAGCACAAGUGAACUUCAAAAAACAUGUUGUCAAAGGAAGCCGAAAAGUACAUACUGUAUGAUGUCAUUCAUGUGAAGUUUAAGACCAGGAAACGGAGCCCUGGUGGCUGCUGGUACUGGGGGAGGAUGGGGUGUGGAAGUGACUGCAAGGAGCGUGAGGAAGCCUUUGGGAUGUUGGAGGCAGCGACUCUCUGGACUGGGUAGCAGUUAGAGGAGGAUAUGCGUAUGUGUAUAUUCAUCUAGGUGUAUAUUUAAAUUCACUUUAUACACAGGAAAUUCACUUUGCUGCAUUUAAUAUUAUCUACUCUUUAAAUGAAUGAGUUAAUUAAUGAAUAGGACUUACGGAGUCUGAAAAUCAGAAUUUUGCCCCCCAUCUUCUUCCCUAAAGCACUGGUGUCUGAGAACCCCUGAUUUCUUAUCUCUAGAGGAUGAUUGUGUGACUAUUUGCUCUGGAUGCGUAAGGCUUGGUGCUGCAUAUUGGACACAGAGCACAUCUCCAAGACUUCAACAAACGGCAACUGGCAGAGUAAUUACUGUCAUCAGUAGUAUUAUUGUUAUUAUUUGUCUGUUGACUGUCAUCAGUAGUAUUAUUGUUAUUAUUACUAUUGUUAUUACUAUUAUUAUUAAUAGUAUUAGUAGGAAUAUCUUCUUGGAUAUGGGCUCCUUUUUCUGCCUAGUUCUCUGUCUUAAAACAAAACAAAAAACCUCGCAGAGGGUUUCUCAGAGAAAGGAUUUACAGGCCUGACCUAGAAACCUCCUUGAUAGAAUUCACUGAAGGUUUGGUGGUUUUAUGUUGUUCAAAAAGGAAGCUUUCGAAGGACAAAGUCCCUUGCAGGUCAUGACCCUUGAGCCCUGCAAGCCCUUCCCCAAAGCAGCGCUUGCCCGGAUGAACAGACCACAGAGCAGAGCGCAGGUGCUGGAACGCCCACCGCCCCCCCCCACCCCAACCAGCCCGGGGGACAGUUUAUGCUCAGGGCUGUAGCACCGUGUGAGGAACUGUAUAAUCCUGCUGGCAGUAAUAACUGGCAGCAUCCUCAGCCUCUACUGUGCUGAUUUUGAGGAUGAAUUCUGUGUCAGACUGAAUCGCAGAGAACCGGUCUGGGACACCAGACAUUAGGUUAUCAGCAUCAUAGAUGAGAAGCUUAGGAGCCUGGCCUGGUUUCUGCUGAUACCAGCUCAAGUAAUCGCUGAUGCUCUCGUUGGCCCUGCAGGUGAUGGACACGCUCUCUCUCAGGGACACAGUGAGGAAGGCCGGAGACUGGGUCAGCCCAGCGUUCCCGCUAGCGGCUGGGAAGGAAGCGAAACACAAAGUCACCAUUGUCUACCAGGUCCCACUCCACUCUCCUCCCAGAAGAUUCUGGCGGCCCUGGUCCCCUAACUUGAGAGCACCUGGGUCUCCGAGGGAAGGGGAGACCCCGGGUCAGGGAUCCACAGAGCCCUGGGGAGAUCCCACAGUCAGGAGGAGAGGAGCUCCCCCCCCCCAUCUCGGGGAUGUCCCUGCACUCCCCUCCUCACCUGGGAGGCAGGCCAGCAGAAGGCAGAGGAGCUGGGUCAGGACACCCAUGUUCGAUCCAAGGCCCUGCCUGAAGCUCUUUUUUGCCCCAGAUGUCUGAGCAGCCUAUUUAUGAGGAUUCUGAAGAGCAGAAACGGGCCCUGGGGGAAACAUGCAAAUCACUGAGGGGUUGGGCAGGUCUGGCUGCAGCUGCAGAACCAGUGCCUCCUGGGGAAUCACACAAACCCAGGAUUCACGUCCAGUCCCAGAGGAGCUUCUCCCAGGUGUUUGUCAGAAAAAACUCUCUCUCUGGGGCGCCUGGAUGGUCAGUCAGUUAAGCGUCUGACUCUUGAUUUCAGCUCAGGUCAUUAUCUCAUGGUCCUGGGAUGGAGCCCCGCCUCAGAUUCCAAGCCCAGUGGGGAGUUUGCUUGAGGAUUCUCUCCUUCUCUCUCUGCUCCAGCCCCCCCUUUCCACUCGCUCUCUCUCUCUAAAAUAAAUAAAUAUUUAAAAAAAAAGAAAAGAAAAAAUCACCUCCAAUUUUUCUGAUUCCUAUAUGUCCUCAUUGCUCUGAAUUUUGUGCAUCUUCUCAAAACAAGAAAAUAAUAGAUCUGGGAUGACCCUCCAAGACUUAAAUUUUUGUAUGAACAUAUACUUUUCCCUAUAGAAUUCAUGAGCUCUCAUUUUCUAGGGAUGGGUGUGAAAUACCAGUUCUAUCUUGGUAUGUUACUUAGACUAAAUAACCAUGAGUCAUGGACAAUAAGACGAGAGAGUAUCUCCUCGGAUCAAAUCCAUGCAGUGCUUCUUCAGGCAUUAUGCAGUCGAGAAGGCUUAUACAUUGUUAGAGGCUAUUUCCAUGGUUAAUAUUAUUCUUUAUUUUGGAGGUUAAUGUCAUUUGGGUAUUAACUUUCUCCGCUUCCUAUUUUUACUGCUUCUCAUUCUUCUCAUCAGUUUUUGCUGAUCAUAUUCUCAUGCCUUAGAGUAACGAUAAGUUCUCUUUUGUCUGACACAGUCCCAAUGUGAUCUUUAACAUUUAAUAGCACCCCCUCUUUGCUCUCACAAAUAACCCAGUUUGGGUGAAAACUUAUAUGACAGCCCUCUAUUCUGAUCUUUUUUAUUCCCAGUUUACUAAGACAUUUCUUAACUAAAAAUUAGUAAUGAAUUGUUAAAUUUUAUCAAAUAUAUUUAUAACUAUUAUCGGCAUGAUCAAACACAUGUAUUUAUAUAUUUUUAAAAAUAUAUAUUUAUGGGCACCUGGGUGGCUCAGAUGAUUAAGCGUCUGCCUUCGGCUCAGGUCAUGAUCCCGGGGUCCUGGGAUCGAGUCCCACAUCGGGUUCCCUGCUCCUUGGGAGCCUGCUUCUCCCUCUGCCUCUCUCUGUCUCUCAUGAAUAAAUAAAUAAAAUCUUUAAAAUAAAAAAAUAUAUAUAUAUUUAUAAAAUAAAAAAAUAAAAAAUAUAUAUUUAUAGUUACAUCACCAUAUAUAUACAUAUAAAAUAGUCACAGAACAUGAAUAUAUUAUAUAUUAUAUAUACACCUAUAUAUUUUAUAUAUAUAUACACACACCUAUAUGUAUAUUUUUCUAUAAAUAAGGUAAUUUUUAACUUUUUAUUCAAAUAUUAUUUUGUCUUAAUUUCUUCUUAAUAUCUUUAUGAACAGAUUGCUAAAUAUUCAUACUGAGGUCAGUUUUAAUAAAAUGCAUCUAAGUAAGUGUGUAGGUGCAUAAAUAUUGUAUUUGUCAACUUUUGCAUGAUGAUUGAUAAUAAACCACUCACAACCAAGUGGCACACAAUACUAAGCAUUAACUUUAAUAUCCACAGAUGUUCAUGUUAACAAUGGUUUGGCUGAUCCAGGCAGGGCUCAGCCAGGUGGUUCUGCUACAUGCCACUAUGAUGCUCUCCAGCCUAUGGAUAGUGUUUCAUCUGGGACCAAGAUGGAAGGGCAGUGACUACUCAUUUUUCUUUCUUUCUUUUUUAUUUUUUAAGUAA
Long non-coding RNA from Mirounga angustirostris (Northern elephant seal), 5655 nucleotides. RefSeq lists it as uncharacterized. The record is from RefSeq and is a predicted model, not a curated record. The transcript has 3 exons. NCBI's taxonomy places the organism in Eukaryota, Metazoa, Chordata, Mammalia, Carnivora, Phocidae.